This 253-nucleotide ribosomal RNA is filed under the name uncultured bacterium. RNAcentral describes it as "partial 16S ribosomal RNA". It matches the Rfam family "Bacterial small subunit ribosomal RNA", at positions 524 to 776 of the family's 1533-position model. The record is from RNAcentral.
UACGUAGGGGGCAAGCGUUGUCCGGAUUUAUUGGGCGUAAAGAGCGUGUAGGCGGCUAGAUAGGUCCGUUGUGAAAACUCGAGGCUCAACCUCGAGACGCCGGUGGAAACCAUCUAGCUAGAGUCCGGAAGAGGAGAGUGGAAUUCCUGGUGUAGCGGUGAAAUGCGCAGAUAUCAGGAAGAACACCGGUGGCGGAGGCGGCUCGCUGGGCCAGUUCUGACACUCAUCCGCGAAAGCGUGGGGAGCGAACCGG